AUGGUUUGCGAGAAAACUCUUCUCUCUCUGGUCUCACUUUGAGUCCUUCUAGAAGUAAAUAACGGAAGUGCUUAUUCAACUACGGCAUUGUCGGACAACCGACCGGAUUCAAGCCCUAGCCCCUCAACUCGGACGGACUUGUGGAAAUCCUCGAAAACAAGUAUUACUCAACUCACCUAUCUAUAA
Molecule: ribosomal RNA, 186 nt
Filed under: Triticum aestivum (bread wheat)
Lineage: Eukaryota; Viridiplantae; Streptophyta; Magnoliopsida; Poales; Poaceae
Description: partial small subunit ribosomal RNA
Source: RNAcentral